This is a long non-coding RNA of Nyctereutes procyonoides (raccoon dog), 537 nucleotides long. RefSeq lists it as uncharacterized. NCBI's taxonomy places the organism in Eukaryota, Metazoa, Chordata, Mammalia, Carnivora, Canidae. The record is from RefSeq and is a predicted model, not a curated record. The transcript is spliced from 5 exons.
CUUCGCUGCUCUGGAGCUGGGCUAGAGCUUCAAGUGCUGCUUAACAGGAAAGGGAAAGGUUUGAGCCUGGGGUGAUGAAAAGCUUAUGGGUUCCAGAGUCUGCAGAAUCUGGAUCUGAAGCUCUGCUGUGUGACCAUGGACAGGUUGUGUAAAAAAUCCUUAAGUCGAAUCUGAGGUGGCUCAAGAAGAACCAAAAGGUGCCUUCUCACGCUGAAAUCAUGUCAAAGAAGAGAUGAGAAACUGUAUAUAUAGAAAGGGAGAAGAGGUGAGGCAGUGGAAGCUGAGAAGUUGGGCCGUGGUCGCAUGGCUAGUAAACACAGCACACGGAAAUUGUGAGUCCAAUUGAAACUUAGCAUCAGGGAAGAAGGCCUUCAGGCUAUGACAAACACAGACAAAUCAAAAAAUGAACGAAGAAGAUGGAAAAGGAUGUGUGAUAUCAAAUCUAGAGGCCUGAUCUUCUCAUCCUUCAGAAGGCAAAGGGCCCCCGGGAGGACUUGGUUGAACUGAAUCCGUAGUCAACUACAAUAUGACGUGUAA